This 396-nucleotide ribosomal RNA is filed under the name Chtenopteryx sicula. RNAcentral describes it as "partial 12S ribosomal RNA". Lineage: Eukaryota; Metazoa; Mollusca; Cephalopoda; Oegopsida; Chtenopterygidae. The record is from RNAcentral.
UCUUUAUUUUAAAAAUUUUAUUAUUUAAGUAGUAUAAACGUUAAUAAAGUAUUUAAUUUUCUAGUAAUGUUUGAAAUUUAAAAGGCUUGGCGGUAUUAUAUAUCCUUCCAGGGGAGCUUGCUGAUUAAUUUGAUAAUCCUCAAUUUAUACUUACUUUUUUUUGAAUGAAAACAGUUUGUGUAUUGCUGUCGUCAGUUUAUUUUGUAAAAAUCUUAGAAAAAACUUAAUAACGUUUAGUUAUGAUGUCAAGUCAAAAUGCAGCUAAUAAAAAAGGUUGAAGUGAGCUACAAUUUAUAAUUUUUAAUCGGAUUAAAUUAUGUAAUUGAUUUAUGAAGUUGGACUUGGUAGUAAUAGUGAAAAUAGGUGAGUUUUUAUGAAUUAGGUUUUAUAAUGCGU